RNAcentral lists this ribosomal RNA (460 nucleotides) under Vibrio sp. D55. Its description in RNAcentral is "bacterial SSU rRNA". It matches the Rfam family "Bacterial small subunit ribosomal RNA", at positions 1 to 452 of the family's 1533-position model. Lineage: Bacteria; Pseudomonadati; Pseudomonadota; Gammaproteobacteria; Vibrionales; Vibrionaceae. The record is from RNAcentral.
UUAGAGUUUGAUCCUGGCUCAGAUUGAACGCUGGCGGCAGGCCUAACACAUGCAAGUCGAGCGGAAACGAGUUAUCUGAACCUUCGGGGGACGAUAACGGCGUCGAGCGGCGGACGGGUGAGUAAUGCCUAGGAAAUUGCCCUGAUGUGGGGGAUAACCAUUGGAAACGAUGGCUAAUACCGCAUAAUGCCUACGGGCCAAAGAGGGGGACCUUCGGGCCUCUCGCGUCAGGAUAUGCCUAGGUGGGAUUAGCUAGUUGGUGAGGUAAUGGCUCACCAAGGCGACGAUCCCUAGCUGGUCUGAGAGGAUGAUCAGCCACACUGGAACUGAGACACGGUCCAGACUCCUACGGGAGGCAGCAGUGGGGAAUAUUGCACAAUGGGCGCAAGCCUGAUGCAGCCAUGCCGCGUGUGUGAAGAAGGCCUUCGGGUUGUAAAGCACUUUCAGUCGUGAGGAAGGU